Molecule: transfer-messenger RNA, 354 nt
Filed under: Epibacterium ulvae
Lineage: Bacteria; Pseudomonadati; Pseudomonadota; Alphaproteobacteria; Rhodobacterales; Roseobacteraceae
Description: Alphaproteobacteria transfer-messenger RNA
Rfam family: Alphaproteobacteria transfer-messenger RNA
About the family: Bacterial tmRNA, also known as 10Sa RNA or SsrA, is named for its dual tRNA and mRNA-like properties. Its role is to liberate the mRNA from a stalled ribosome.
Source: Rfam by way of RNAcentral
CCUCUUUAACUCCCGUGCUCAAACGCAUAUAUUUUCUAUGUUCCCUCGGGAACUAUGGACAUAAAUGCGCUCGUAAUAAACGGAUCGGACCCGGGGGCGGUACCCGGCGUCUCCACCAUAUAUCCUUCAUUUGAGGAUCUUGGGGACGAAAUAGGAUCGACGGACGUCUAAAGGGGUUAGCUUUGUCUCGGCUGUCUGCCACCGUUAUCGGCGAAACUUGUACAAUUGCAAAUGACAAUCGUGCUCCGGCAAUGGCAGUUGCAGCGUAAGCUGUAAAUGUCGCCGAAACUUAAGUCCUUACGCCUAGCCGCGUAAGGCGGGGUUCGCAGGUACCUGGCAACAGAAACCUGCACU